This 497-nucleotide ribosomal RNA is filed under the name uncultured bacterium. Its description in RNAcentral is "partial 16S ribosomal RNA". It matches the Rfam family "Bacterial small subunit ribosomal RNA", at positions 28 to 507 of the family's 1533-position model. The record is from RNAcentral.
GAUGAACGCUGGCGGCGUGCCUAAUACAUGCAAGUCGAGCGAACAGACGAGGAGCUUGCUCCUCUGACGUUAGCGGCGGACGGGUGAGUAACACGUGGAUAACCUACCUAUAAGACUGGGAUAACUUCGGGAAACCGGAGCUAAUACCGGAUAAUAUAUUGAACCGCAUGGUUCAAUAGUGAAAGACGGUUUUGCUGUCACUUAUAGAUGGAUCCGCGCCGCAUUAGCUAGUUGGUAAGGUAACGGCUUACCAAGGCAAUGAUGCGUAGCCGACCUGAGAGGGUGAUCGGCCACACUGGAACUGAGACACGGUCCAGACUCCUACGGGAGGCAGCAGUGGGGAAUCUUCCGCAAUGGGCGAAAGCCUGACGGAGCAACGCCGCGUGAGUGAUGAAGGUCUUCGGAUCGUAAAACUCUGUUAUUAGGGAAGAACAAAUGUGUAAGUAACUAUGCACGUCUUGACGGUACCUAAUCAGAAAGCCACGGCUAACUACGUG